AUGGUAGAUGGCACAUGUUUCGAAACAACGUGGUACCAAUUUAAUUGCAACUUCACACAUCAAAAUCAGCUGUGAAUAUCAGUAUGGCCGCUCAAAUAUCUACAAAAUAAAAUUGUUAUUGCUAUAUUCAUUUCACAAACAUAGUAAAGUGCAGUUUUAGUGCCUACACGCGUUAAAUAUUUUGAUUAAUCUUUUACAACCGUAUCGAUGUUGAUGUUGACUAAAAGUGUUGCGUCAUGACAGAAUAGACCUCUCUCUCACUGACAAACAAAUACAAUUUUGCUAACUAGAGAUUACGGCUAAAAGUGGUAGCAUUUCUAUUUCGCUCGUAUAACGUAUAUGUCGAGUGCAUCGCUGAUGUGAUUAAGUGAAUUUGAAUAGUAAUAAAUCUGAUAAUGAGUAGUGUUCGGUUAAGCUUCGUGUCUGUGGGGAGAAUCGCUGUAAGGAGAAAUUCACAGUUGACAUCAGGUGGCGCUCAAACAUGUCGUGCCCUGCGGCGCACAAGCACCCGCCCACUGAGCACGUGCGCCGUGCUCUGUAAGAGUCCAACCGAACAACCGCCCGGCCCGCCGCAUACCGCUAAAGACGCCGCAAGCAACGGUUCAUCAUCAGGCGGUAAGAAGUCGGGGGGUAAUGGCGUGCUUACAUGUCCGAAGUGCGGAGACCCUUGCACUCACGUGGAGACGUUCGUCAGUUCCACCAGAUUCGUCAAGUGCGAUAAAUGUCACCAUUUCUUCGUCGUACUUAGCGAGGUAGACACCAAGAAGAGCAUCAAGGACAAUGCCGAGAAUAAAUCUGGAUUUUACAGGAAACCACCACCGCCUCCCAAGAAGAUCUUCGAAUACCUCAAUAAACACGUAGUCGGACAGGAGUAUGCCAAGAAAGUUCUAUCAGUCGCCGUCUACAAUCACUACAAGCGCAUUUACAACAAUGUCACGAAUGGUACGACAACUGACGCCCACCAUCCCCUACAUCACACACACAGAGAUCUUCUACACUUGAGUCACAACAGCGGGGCUACCGGAGGAGGAGGAGCAGGGGGAGGCACAGAGGUGCUGGAGAGAAAUAACCACGAAUUGAGAUUGGAUAAAAGCAAUGUACUUUUGCUAGGACCAACUGGAAGCGGUAAAACAUUGCUUGCACAAACUAUAGCGCAAUGUCUUGACGUACCCUUCGCGAUCUGCGAUUGCACGACACUGACGCAGGCUGGCUACGUAGGUGAAGAUAUCGAAAGCGUCAUCGCGAAACUGUUGCAAGACGCUAACUUCAAUGUCGAACGUGCUCAAACGGGCAUCGUGUUUCUUGACGAAGUGGAUAAAAUUGGUGCCGUACCCGGCAUACAUCAACUCAGAGACGUGGGAGGCGAGGGCGUCCAGCAGGGAAUGCUGAAGAUGCUCGAGGGCGCCGUGGUGUCGGUGCCCGAGCGGAACUCGCGCAAGCUGCGCGGCGACGCGGUGCAGGUGGACACCACCAACAUCCUGUUCGUGGCCAGCGGCGCCUACAACGGGCUGGACCGGCUCAUCCAGCGCCGCAACAACGAGAAGUACCUCGGGUUCGGCGCGUGGGACCCCAAGUCGGGGCGGCGCGCGGCGCUGGCGGCGGCCGCGGCCGACGCGUCGCCGCUCGACAGCGCGCGCGCCGAGGCCGACGAGCGCGACCACUGGCUGCGCGCCGUGCAGGCGCGCGACCUCAUCGACUUCGGCAUGAUCCCCGAAUUCGUCGGCAGGUUCCCGGUGCUGGUGCCCUUCCACAGUCUCAACCAGGACCUGCUCGUGAGGAUACUCACUGAACCCAAGAAUGCUAUUGUGGCGCAGUACAAGCUGCUGUUCGCGAUGGACAAGUGCGAGCUUUCGUUUAGUGAUGAAGCGCUGCAAGCCGUCGCCUCGCUCGCGAUGGAGCGCAAGACUGGAGCGAGAGGACUCAGAGCCAUCAUGGAAAACCUGCUCCUGGAGGUGAUGUUCGAGAUUCCCGGCUCCGACAUCACGUGCGUGCACAUACACGAGGGCUGCGUGUCCCGCAGCGAGCCGCCGCAGCUGCGGAGGCGGCACGCGCAGCGGGAGCGCGACCUGCACCACUGGCCCUCGGUGCGCGUCACCAACUGUACGUAGGGACACACACACACACACAGCGCGACCUGCACCACUGGCCCUCGGUGCGCGUCACCAACUGAAGAAUGCAUUAAAGCUGCGAUGUGGCCGCGAUCAAAAAAUGGAUGUACUAUUUAAAUUUGCGAACUAAAAGCGACGGAACCCGAGCCGUCUGUCACUCAGUGUGCGCUGUGAGGACGAGUAUGGUGGUCAUGACGAUAGACUACGAAUAGAAACUGCAUAGACAAACAAUAAUCUAUAGACAACUGAAUUUACCAUAGAUAAAAAAAAAUUAAAAAAUCAAGAACAUAAAAAAAAAGAUUAAUGAUAACUAAUUAUCCAGUUUUUUGAUUUGUUUAACAUUUUUAACUGUAUUUGAUGAAAAUAUUUAAAACAUUAUCCAUACGAAGGCUAGUUUCAGCAUUUAAAAUAAGUAAUUUUAUAAUUGAAGUUUACAUUUGAGUUGAUGAAGAUAUAUUGUUUUAGCACCAAAUUAGUUUAGAAAUUGAAGAUAAGUGUUUCAAAAUUAAAAUCCGAAAAAAUUAAAAAAAUUCGUUAGUAUAAUAACUAUUUUAACAACUAAAAUGUUUUAAUUUGAAAAUUACAAAGAUUGAAUAGUUCUUGUUUUAAAAACGCAUGUUUGCUCUAAUUCUAAUACUUUAUGUUUUAUAAAAAUGAUCUUUAUUUAUAGUUCCUUUAGGGCUAAAUUUCGAGUUUUGUGUAAAAAUACAAAAAGUAAAUUUAAUAAGGAAACAUGUUGUAUUGUCAGCCACCGUACAACAUUGCUCUUGUGAUGUAAAUUACUGUAAAUAAUAAUUAAUAGAAAAAUCUAGAUAAAAUAGUUAAGGUUCCAUAGAUUAGGUUUUUUUUUCUAUGCCCAUAUAAGUUAAGUACCGAAAUAUAUAGUAAUAAUACUGUUUGGAAACACUGUGAGAGAAAUUAUAUUUUGACACUUGUUUUUUUUUUUUAAUUUUAUUUAAUUAUUGAUAAGUUGUGACGUGAUUAUGAAAAAAAAAUGAAAUUUCAGAAAUUUCAUGUUACGAUACAUGGUGCGUAAAUUAUUUAAAAAAGUAAUCACAUUGCAGCUACAAUUAAAAUAGUCUAAGCCUAUUUUCGAGAUAAAAUAUAAAGAAAAGAACGGAA
RNA transcript from Vanessa tameamea, 3230 nucleotides. It is a transcript of the gene named ATP-dependent Clp protease ATP-binding subunit clpX-like, mitochondrial, with no coding region annotated. The record is from RefSeq and is a predicted model, not a curated record. NCBI's taxonomy places the organism in Eukaryota, Metazoa, Arthropoda, Insecta, Lepidoptera, Nymphalidae. The transcript is spliced from 13 exons.